This 650-nucleotide ribosomal RNA is filed under the name uncultured Pseudomonadota bacterium. RNAcentral describes it as "bacterial SSU rRNA". It matches the Rfam family "Bacterial small subunit ribosomal RNA", at positions 64 to 704 of the family's 1533-position model. Lineage: Bacteria; Pseudomonadati; Pseudomonadota. The record is from RNAcentral.
GAACGGUAACAGAAAGCAGCUUGCUGCUUUGCUGACGAGUGGCGGACGGGUGAGUAAUGUCUGGGAAACUGCCUGAUGGAGGGGGAUAACUACUGGAAACGGUAGCUAAUACCGCAUAACGUCGCAAGACCAAAGAGGGGGACCUUCGGGCCUCUUGCCAUCGGAUGUGCCCAGAUGGGAUUAGCUAGUAGGUGGGGUAAAGGCUCACCUAGGCGACGAUCCCUAGCUGGUCUGAGAGGAUGACCAGCCACACUGGAACUGAGACACGGUCCAGACUCCUACGGGAGGCAGCAGUGGGGAAUAUUGCACAAUGGGCGCAAGCCUGAUGCAGCCAUGCCGCGUGUAUGAAGAAGGCCUUCGGGUUGUAAAGUACUUUCAGCGGGGAGGAAGGGAGUAAAGUUAAUACCUUUGCUCAUUGACGUUACCCGCAGAAGAAGCACCGGCUAACUCCGUGCCAGCAGCCGCGGUAAUACGGAGGGUGCAAGCGUUAAUCGGAAUUACUGGGCGUAAAGCGCACGCAGGCGGUUUGUUAAGUCAGAUGUGAAUCCCCGGGCUCAACCUGGGAACUGCAUCUGAUACUGGCAAGCUUGAGUCUCGUAGAGGGGGGUAGAAUUCCAGGUGUAGCGGUGAAAUGCGUAGAGAUCUGGAGG